Long non-coding RNA from Lutra lutra (Eurasian river otter), 1314 nucleotides. RefSeq lists it as uncharacterized. The transcript has 3 exons. The record is from RefSeq and is a predicted model, not a curated record. NCBI's taxonomy places the organism in Eukaryota, Metazoa, Chordata, Mammalia, Carnivora, Mustelidae.
GUUGUUUGAAGAGGAGGUAACGACAGGACCUGGAGGCUUGGUGAUACCAGGCUGGUAUGAAAGGGACUCUUUGAGAAAUGACUAUCUCCCAGGUAAAGCGAUGUUUCCUGCAGGUAACCCGAGGAUUGGCAAAGAAAUAUGGAGACUACUCUGCACACAGUUCUGGCUAUUUUGAGGCCUAAGAGAUGUUUCUUUUCUCCUGGAAGGAUCCAGAGGGUGACUUCCACCCUUCACCUGGCACGUGGACAUGACAGAGUGGCAGCCACAUCCUACAAGGGGCACACUUCGAUCAUCUUUGAACAGCAGGUGUUUUAUCAAUAAAAUGAAAAUCUCAUUAAAUUCUCUGGUACUGGACCAGGGUGCUUUACCCUGUACCCUUUGUUCAAAACAAUUUAAUCUCUUCUUAGGAAAAAAGGGGAGAUACUGGUUGAAGCAAAAAUGAUUUCUUUCUGCUCUCCUGGUGCUCCUUUCUUCAUUCUGCAUGAAAUUAAUUUUGAAGAAAGGAGCUGAACUCUUCAGUUGCUGCUGCACAAUUUAGUGCAAAAGCAAGAUAUUUAAUUAACAGCGAUAACCUGGACUUGAUUAGAAAAUAAAGCCAUUCUUGCUGAAGUGACCAGGGAUUAACAUGUCUUAAUUAUUCUCCUAGAGAGAGUGUGUAUGACGUAAAGAAUCUGAAAGUGCUUUCAUUUGUAUUUCUGACCCAACAUGAUCCUGUGCUUAAUUUGACCUGCUUGAUGUAGGUCAUUGAAUCAAGAGUUACCUUUCUGUUAAAUUAUAAAAAUGAUUUCUCGUUUGGACGAUAUAUUAGGGAUGUAUAUUGCUUAUUCAACAGUCAUGUUCAGAAAUUUAUUAUCCAUGAUGUUAGUGGGUUUCUAUCCGAACUUGGCAAAUACAUUUUUUAAAACCAUUCCAUGUUAUUUCAUUAAAUUGCAACAUGUCGGUUUCAAGGCCACAUGGCAAGCUCCCUGGGCAAUGCCAUGUGCCUGAGCCCCACCUCACUGAGGCCUGCAUCUCGGGCUCCAGAAGCAAAGGAGAGGAAAGCAUUGACUUAAUUGUGGCUUUAAUUUUGGCAACUGUGUCCUUCCUCAGCAAGGUGAGAUCGGCACUUGUAAAAUGAUCAAGUUUUUCGACAUUAUAAAAGUUUUGCUAGGAUUGUUUCUUUAGUUAAUUGCUUGAAAAACUUCUGCAUUGUCAACUUUGCAGUCUUGAAAUGACUCUACACAUCUUCCUGGAGGUGGGAUUAUACUUAGGUGCAAGUUACAGAGAGCACAGUUCAUAGAGACAGGAUUGACACUGUGCUUAGUUCGCAUAAAA